AACCUGCCCCUAGGCUUUGGGAUAACCCCGGGAAACCGGGGCUAAUACCGAAUAGGACCUCUGACCGCAUGGUUGGUGGUGGAAAGUUUUUCGGCCUGGGAUGGGCUCGCGGCCUAUCAGCUUGUUGGUGGGGUGAUGGCCUACCAAGGCGACGACGGGUAGCCGGCCUGAGAGGGCGACCGGCCACACUGGGACUGAGACACGGCCCAGACUCCUACGGGAGGCAGCAGUGGGGAAUAUUGCACAAUGGGCGGAAGCCUGAUGCAGCGACGCCGCGUGAGGGAUGACGGCCUUCGGGUUGUAAACCUCUUUCAGCAGGGACGAAGCGUAAGUGACGGUACCUGCAGAAGAAGCGCCGGCCAACUACGUGCCAGCAGCCGCGGUAAGACGUAGGGCGCGAGCGUUGUCCGGAUUUAUUGGGCGUAAAGAGCUCGUAGGCGGCUUGUCGCGUCGACUGUGAAAACCCGCAGCUCAACUGCGGGCCUGCAGUCGAUACGGGCAGGCUAGAGUUCGGUAGGGGAGACUGGAAUUCCUGGUGUAGCGGUGAAAUGCGCAGAUAUCAGGAGGAACACCGGUGGCGAAGGCGGGUCUCUGGGCCGAUACUGACGCUGAGGAGCGAAAGCGUGGGGAGCGAACAGGAUUAGAUACCCUGGUAGUCCACGCUGUAAACGUUGGGCGCUAGGUGUGGGGGGCCUCUCCGGUUCCCUGUGCCGCAGCUAACGCAUUAAGCGCCCCGCCUGGGGAGUACGGCCGCAAGGCUAAAACUNAAAGGAAUUGACGGGGGCCCGCACAAGCGGCGGAGCAUGCGGAUUAAUUNGAUGCAACGCGAAGAACCUUACCUGGGUUUGACAUGGCCGCAAAACUGUCAGAGAUGGCAGGUCCUUCGGGGGCGGUCACAGGUGGUGCAUGGCUGUNGUCAGCUNGUGUCGUGAGAUGUUGGGUUAAGUCCCGCAACGAGCGCAACCCUCGUUCGAUGUUGCCAGCGCGUUAUGGCGGGGACUCAUCGAAGACUGCCGGGGUCAACUCGGAGGAAGGUGGGGAUGACGUCAAGUCAUCAUGCCCCUUAUGUCCAGGGCUUCACGCAUGCUACAAUGGCCGGUACAAUGGGCUGCGAUACCGUGAGGUGGAGCGAAUCCCAAAAAGCCGGUCUCAGUUCGGAUCGGGGUCUGCAACUCGACCCCGUGAAGUCGGAGUCGCUAGUAAUCGCAGAUCAGCAACGCUGCGGUGAAUACGUUCCCGGGCCUUGUACACACCGCCCGUCACGUCACGAAAGUCGGCAACACCCGAAGCCGGUGGCCCAACCCUUGUGGAGGGAGCCGUCGAAGGUGGGGCUGGCGA
Molecule: ribosomal RNA, 1338 nt
Filed under: Micromonospora sp. MIA55
Lineage: Bacteria; Bacillati; Actinomycetota; Actinomycetes; Micromonosporales; Micromonosporaceae
Description: 16S ribosomal RNA
Rfam family: Bacterial small subunit ribosomal RNA
Source: RNAcentral